Molecule: small nuclear RNA, 183 nt
Organism: Chlorocebus sabaeus (green monkey)
Lineage: Eukaryota; Metazoa; Chordata; Mammalia; Primates; Cercopithecidae
Product: U2 spliceosomal RNA
Source: RefSeq, a predicted model, not a curated record
AUCGCUUCUCGGCCUUUUGGCUAAGAUCAAGUGUAGUAUCUGUUCUUAUCGGUUUAAUAUCUGAUACAUCCUCCAUCCAAGGACAAUAUAUUAAAUAGAUUUUGGAGAUGGAAUAGAAGCUUGCUCCAUCCGCUCCAUGCAUUAACUUGGUAUUGCAGUACCUCCAGGAAUGGUGCACCCCCU